Molecule: non-coding RNA, 31 nt
Filed under: Rattus norvegicus (Norway rat)
Lineage: Eukaryota; Metazoa; Chordata; Mammalia; Rodentia; Muridae
Source: RNAcentral
UGUAAAAUCAAAAAUAAAUUAAACACACCCU